CGCGGCCUAUCAGCUUGUUGGUGAGGUAACGGCUCACCAAGGCUACGACGGGUAGCUGGUCUGAGAGGACGACCAGCCACACUGGGACUGAGACACGGCCCAGACUCCUACGGGAGGCAGCAGCGGGGAAUAUUGCACAAUGGGCGAAAGCCUGACGCAGCGACGCCGCGUGAGGGAAGAAGGCCUUCGGGUUGUAAACCUCUUUCAGGAGGGAAGAAGCUGAAGUGACCGUACCUCCAAAGAAAGCCCCGGUCAACUACGUGCCCCCAGCCGCGGUAAUACGUACGGGGCAAGCGUUGUCCGGAUUCAUUGGGCGAAAAGAGAUCGUAUGCGGCUCAUCAAGUGUGUCGUGAAAGCCCGGGGCUCAGCCCCGGCACCCCAAUCUGAACUGCUGUGGCUAGGGUCCAGUAAAGGAGAAUGCAAUUCCCGGUGUAGCGGUGAAAUGAUCACAUAUCGAAAGGAACACCAGUAGGGAACGCUGCUCUCUGGGCCGGUACCUAAGCUGAGGAGCCAAGGCUAGGGGAGCAAACUAGAUUACAUACCCUGCUACUCCUAACCGUAAACGUUGGGCACUAGGUGUGGCGGACUCAUUGUCCUCUGCCGUGCCAAAGCAUACGCAUUAACUGCCGCGCCUGAGGAGUACGGAAUCUCAUC
This 654-nucleotide ribosomal RNA is filed under the name uncultured actinomycete. Its description in RNAcentral is "bacterial SSU rRNA". It matches the Rfam family "Bacterial small subunit ribosomal RNA", at positions 232 to 894 of the family's 1533-position model. The record is from RNAcentral. Lineage: Bacteria; Bacillati; Actinomycetota; Actinomycetes; Actinomycetales.